GACGAACGCUGGCGGCGUGCUUAACACAUACAAGUCGAACGGAAAGGCCCUGCUUUUGUGGGGUGCUCGAGUGGCGAACGGGUGAGUAACACGUGAGUAACCUGCCCUUGACUUUGGGAUAACUUCAGGAAACUGGGGCUAAUACCGGAUAGGAGCUCCUGCUGCAUGGUGGGGGUUGGAAAGUUUCGGCGGUUGGGGAUGGACUCGCGGCUUAUCAGCUUGUUGGUGGGGUAGUGGCUUACCAAGGCUUUGACGGGUAGCCGGCCUGAGAGGGUGACCGGCCACAUUGGGACUGAGAUACGGCCCAGACUCCUACGGGAGGCAGCAGUGGGGAAUAUUGCACAAUGGGCGGAAGCCUGAUGCAGCAACGCCGCGUGCGGGAUGACGGCCUUCGGGUUGUAAACCGCUUUCGCCUGUGACGAAGCGUAAGUGACGGUAAUGGGUAAAGAAGCACCGGCUAACUACGUG
This 468-nucleotide ribosomal RNA is filed under the name uncultured bacterium. RNAcentral describes it as "partial 16S ribosomal RNA". It matches the Rfam family "Bacterial small subunit ribosomal RNA", at positions 28 to 507 of the family's 1533-position model. The record is from RNAcentral.